RNAcentral lists this long non-coding RNA (395 nucleotides) under Lathyrus oleraceus (garden pea). Its description in RNAcentral is "Pisum sativum (pea) long non-coding RNA (PSAT_LNC000164)". The record is from RNAcentral. Lineage: Eukaryota; Viridiplantae; Streptophyta; Magnoliopsida; Fabales; Fabaceae.
GAUUCAAAAUAUUGGAAUGAUUAAAUCGGGCCCAAACAACAAAUAAUGUAAAGUAUGAGUGUAAGUGCAAGAGAACUGGCUCAUUGUAAGAAAGCCCAAGAGUAAGCUAUGUGAGGUUGAUGGCGAUGCUUAAAAAGCAAUCGACUUACACGGGUUUGAAAAUGGGCUCGAUAUUAAAUCGAGAAAAGUAUGAUUUUUAUAGUUUUAAAAAUGGUUUUGCAUGUAUGAUGAAAUUAAUAAUGAAGCAUGGACAUAAAAAAGGUAUUAAAAGAAACAAAGUGCUAAAAGAUAGUGAAAUACUAAAAAAUGAAAUGCUAAAAAAAGAAAUAAAAUACUAAAAAAAAAGAAAUACUAAAAAUGCUAUCUACGAGUAUCGAACCCACUCCUCUUGAGAC